UUUUUUUCUUGUAAAUUUCCUUAAGUUCUUUGUAGAUUCUGGAUAUUAGCUCUUUGUCAGAUGGGUAGAUUGCAAAAAUUUUCUCCCAUUCUGUAUGUUGCCUGUUCACUCUGAUGACAUUUUAUUUUGGUGUGCAGAAGCUCUUUAGUUUAAUUAGAUCCCAUUUGUCAAUUUUGGAUUUGUUGCCAUUGCUUGUAGUGUUUUAAUCAUGAAGUAUUUGACCAUGCCUAUGUCCCGAAUGGUAUUGCCUAGGUUUUCUUCUAGGACUUUUAUGGUUUUAGGUCUUACAUUUAAGUUUUUAAUACAUCUUGAGUUAAUUUUUGUAUAAGGUGUAAGGAAGGGAUCCAGUUUCAGCUUUCUACAUAUGGCUAGCCAGUUUUCUCAGCACCAUUAAUUAAAUAGGGAAUCCUUUCCCCAUUGCUUGUUUUUGUCAGGUUUGUCAAAGAUCAGAUAACUGUAGAUGUAUGGUGCUAUUUCUGAGGCCUCUGCUCUGUUCCAUUGGUCUAUAUCUCUGUUUUGGUACCAGUACCAUGCUGUUUUUGUUACUGUAGCCUUGUAGUAUAGUUUGAAGUCAGGUAGUGUGAUGCCUCCAGGUUUGUUCUUUUUGCCUAGGAGUGUCUUGGCUAUAUGGGCUCUUUUUUGGUUCCAUAUGAACUUUAAAGGAAUUUUUUUUUUUUUCCAAUUCAGCGAAGAAAGUCAGUGGUAGCUUGAUGGGGAUAGCAUUGAACCUGUAAAUAAUGUUGGGCAGUAUGGGCAUUUUCACUAUAUUGAUUCUUCUUAUCCAUGAGCAUGGAAUGUUCUUCCAUUUGUUUGUGUCUUCCUUUAUUUCACUGAGCAGUGGUUUGUAGUUCUCCUUGAAGAGGUCCAUCACCUCCCUUGUAAGUUGGAUUCCUAGGUAUUUCAUUCUCUUUGUAGUAAUUGUGAAUGGGAGUUCACUCAUGAUUUGGCUGUCUGUUUGUCUGUUCUUGGCAUAUAGGAAUGCUUGUGAUUUUAGCACAUUGAUUUUAUAUCCUGAGACUUCGUUAAAUUUGCUUGCCAGCUUAAGGAGAUUUUGGGCUGAGACGAUGGGGUUUUCUAAAUAUACAAUCGUGUCAUCUUCAAACAGAGACAGUUUGACUUCCUUUUUUCCAAUUUGAAUACCCUUGAUUUCUUUCUCCUGCCUGAUUGCCCUGGCCAGAACUUCCAAUACUAUGUUAAAUAAGAGUCAUAAGAGAGGGCAUCCUUGUUUUGUGACAGUUUUCAAAAGGAAUUCUUCCAGUUUCUGCAAAUUCACUAUGAUAUUGGCUAUGGGUUUGUCAUAAACAGCUCUUAUUAUUUUGAGAUACGUUCCAUUAAUACCUAGUUUAUUGAGAGCUUUUAGCAUGAAAGGCUGUUGAAUUGUGUUGAAAGUCUUUUCUACACUUAUUGAGAUAAUCACGUGGUUUAUGGCGUUCGUUCUGUUUAUGUGAUGGAUUACAUUUAUUGAUUUGGGUAUGUUGAACCAGCUUUGCAUCCCAGGGAUGAAGCUGACUUGACUGUGGUGG
This 1523-nucleotide long non-coding RNA is filed under the name Macaca fascicularis (crab-eating macaque). Its description in RNAcentral is "lncRNA (ENSMFAG00000037388.2)". Lineage: Eukaryota; Metazoa; Chordata; Mammalia; Primates; Cercopithecidae. The record is from RNAcentral.